AAGGCAGCCAUGGUAUUGACAGAAAAAGACUCUGGAUUUGGAUUGCAGCUGUAGCAUUUAUUAAAUGCACGUCACAACCUCUCUGAGCUUCGUUUUCCCCACGUUUCAAAUGGGAUGCAGUGGACCCUGUUGCCUACCCGAGAACAACUUCAAAGCAACUUUGAGAGCCUUGUAUGGAAGAUGGCAACUUUGAGAGCCUUGUGUUGAAGAUGGCAAAGCCACAAGAUGGAAAGUGCUUGGGUUCUUGGAUCAUUGUAUGGAGGGGUUCUGCCCAACUAGGAUCACCCAGGCUGGAUUGUCAUAGUGAAGAUAAGAAUACCUAUUUUAAAGUUCUGUUGUGAGGUUCAAGUGCCACAUAUGGGGCCACCAGAAGCUGUUGGCGCCCCUCCCACAUCCCUGUGGUCCACUCAGGAGGUUAACUGCAGUCAGCUGUCAUUCUGCUGGUGGCUUCCUGCGUCUUUCUGCCUGAGCUUGUUCUUUGGCCCUGGAGGAACCCUCCACCAAUGAGAGAUGGGAAUUGUUGGAUAAAAGUCCCAGCUUCCACUCCAAGGCAUGUUCAUGAUCCAUGCAGCCUCUGAGAGGCCUCCCAUGGGCCUGAGCCCCAGUUGCCCACACUGGUAAUACACACAUCUGCUCACUCUCCACUGGCUUUCCUCUCUCCCUUUCUCACUGCUUCACCUUCCCAAUGUGCCUCCUGGACCACGU
Molecule: long non-coding RNA, 705 nt
Filed under: Homo sapiens (human)
Lineage: Eukaryota; Metazoa; Chordata; Mammalia; Primates; Hominidae
Description: non-protein coding LINC01281:11
Source: RNAcentral